This 468-nucleotide ribosomal RNA is filed under the name uncultured bacterium. RNAcentral's name for it is "partial 16S ribosomal RNA". It matches the Rfam family "Bacterial small subunit ribosomal RNA", at positions 28 to 507 of the family's 1533-position model. The record is from RNAcentral.
GACGAACGCUGGCGGCGUGCUUAACACAUGCCAGUCGAACGGAAAGGCCCUGCUUUUGUGGGGUGCUCGAGUGGCGAACGGGUGAGUAACACGUGAGUAACCUGCCCUUGACUUUGGGAUAACUUCAGGAAACUGGGGCUAAUACCGGAUAGGAGCUCCUGCUGCAUGGUGGGGGUUGGAAAGUUUCGGCGGUUGGGGAUGGACUCGCGGUUUAUCAGCUUGUUGGUGGGGUAGUGGCUUACCAAGGCUUUGACGGGUAGCCGGCCUGAGAGGGUGACCGGCCACAUUGGGACUGAGAUACGGCCCAGACUCCUACGGGAGGCAGCAGUGGGGAAUAUUGCACAAUGGGCGGAAGCCUGAUGCAGCAACGCCGCGUGCGGGACGACGGCCUUCGGGUUGUAAACCGCUUUCGCCUGUGACGAAGCGUGAGUGACGGUAAUGGGUAAAGAAGCACCGGCUAACUACGUG